GUCACGAUUAGAAUAAAUGGUAGUUCGCUGGGAUUGUAUACCAGAGGUGCUGGUUCGACUCCAGCUCGUGACA
RNAcentral lists this transfer RNA (73 nucleotides) under Malus hupehensis var. mengshanensis. RNAcentral's name for it is "tRNA-Thr". It matches the Rfam family "tRNA". Rfam says of the family: Transfer RNA (tRNA) molecules are approximately 80 nucleotides in length. Their secondary structure includes four short double-helical elements and three loops (D, anti-codon, and T loops). Lineage: Eukaryota; Viridiplantae; Streptophyta; Magnoliopsida; Rosales; Rosaceae. The record is from RNAcentral.